This 481-nucleotide ribosomal RNA is filed under the name uncultured Mycobacterium sp. RNAcentral's name for it is "bacterial SSU rRNA". It matches the Rfam family "Bacterial small subunit ribosomal RNA", at positions 8 to 507 of the family's 1533-position model. Lineage: Bacteria; Bacillati; Actinomycetota; Actinomycetes; Mycobacteriales; Mycobacteriaceae. The record is from RNAcentral.
AGAGUUUGAUCCUGGCUCAGGACGAACGCUGGCGGCGUGCUUAACACAUGCAAGUCGAACGGAAAGGCCCUUCGGGGUACUCGAGUGGCGAACGGGUGAGUAACACGUGGGUGAUCUGCCCUGCACUUUGGGAUAAGCCUGGGAAACUGGGUCUAAUACCGAAUAGGACCGCGCUCUUCAUGGGGUGUGGUGGAAAGCUUUUGCGGUGUGGGAUGGGCCCGCGGCCUAUCAGCUUGUUGUGGGGUAAUGGCCUACCAAGGCGACGACGGGUAGCCGGCCUGAGAGGGUGACCGGCCACACUGGGACUGAGAUACGGCCCAGACUCCUACGGGAGGCAGCGGUGGGGAAUAUUGCACAAUGGGCGCAAGCCUGAUGCAGCGACGCCGCGUGAGGGAUGACGGCCUUCGGGUUGUAAACCUCUUUCAGUAGGGACGAAGCGCAAGUGACGGUACCUAUAGAAGAAGGACCGGCCAACUACGUG